AUACGUAGGUCCCGAGCGUUGUCCGGAUUUAUUGGGCGUAAAGCGAGCGCAGGCGGUUUGAUAAGUCUGAAGUUAAAGGCUGUGGCUCAACCAUAGUUCGCUUUGGAAACUGUCAAACUUGAGUGCAGAAGGGGAGAGUGGAAUUCCAUGUGUAGCGGUGAAAUGCGUAGAUAUAUGGAGGAACACCGGUGGCGAAAGCGGCUCUCUGGUCUGUAACUGACGCUGAGGCUCGAAAGCGUGGGGAGCGAACAGGAUUAGAUACCCUGGUAGUCCACGCCGUAAACGAUGAGUGCUAGGUGUUGGAUCCUUUCCGGGAUUCAGUGCCGCAGCUAACGCAUUUAGCACUCCGCCUGGGGAGUACGACCGCAAGGUUGAAACUCAAAGGAAUUGACGGGGGCCCGCACAAGCGGUGGAGCAUGUGGUUUAAUUCGAAGCAACGCGAAGAACCUUACCAGGUCUUGACAUCCCGAUGCUAUUUCUAGAGAUAGAAAGUUACUUCGGUACAUCGGUGACGGGUGGUGCAUGGUUGUCGUCAGCUCGUGUCGUGAGAUGUUGGGUUAAGUCCCGCAACGAGCGCAACCCCUAUUGUUAGUUGCCAUCAUUCAGUUGGGCACUCUAGCGAGACUGCCGGUAAUAAACCGGAGGAAGGUGGGGAUGACGUCAAAUCAUCAUGCCCCUUAUGACCUGGGCUACACACGUGCUACAAUGGUUGGUACAACGAGUUGCGAGUCGGUGACGGCAAGCUAAUCUCUUAAAGCCAAUCUCAGUUCGGAUUGUAGGCUGCAACUCGCCUACAUGAAGUCGGAAUCGCUAGUAAUCGCGGAUCAGCACGCCGCGGUGAAUACGUUCCCGGGCCUUGUACACACCGCCCGUCACACCACGAAAGUUGGUAACACCCGAAGCCGGUGGGGUAACCGUAAGGAGCCAGCCGUCUAAGGUGGGGCCGAUGAUUGGGGUG
This 958-nucleotide ribosomal RNA is filed under the name uncultured bacterium. RNAcentral describes it as "bacterial SSU rRNA". It matches the Rfam family "Bacterial small subunit ribosomal RNA", at positions 523 to 1482 of the family's 1533-position model. The record is from RNAcentral.